RNAcentral lists this ribosomal RNA (1437 nucleotides) under Salmonella enterica subsp. enterica serovar Enteritidis. Its description in RNAcentral is "partial 23S ribosomal RNA". It matches the Rfam family "Bacterial large subunit ribosomal RNA", at positions 21 to 1503 of the family's 2925-position model. Lineage: Bacteria; Pseudomonadati; Pseudomonadota; Gammaproteobacteria; Enterobacterales; Enterobacteriaceae. The record is from RNAcentral.
ACGGUGGAUGCCCUGGCAGUCAGAGGCGAUGAAGGGCGUGCUAAUCUGCGAUAAGCGCCGGUAAGGUGAUAUGAACCGUUAUAACCGGCGAUACCCGAAUGGGGAAACCCAGUGUGACUCGUCACACUAUCAUUAACUGAAUCCAUAGGUUAAUGAGGCGAACCGGGGGAACUGAAACAUCUAAGUACCCCGAGGAAAAGAAAUCAACCGAGAUUCCCCCAGUAGCGGCGAGCGAACGGGGAGGAGCCCAGAGCCUGAAUCAGCAUGUGUGUUAGUGGAAGCGUCUGGAAAGGCGCGCGAUACAGGGUGACAGCCCCGUACACAAAAGCGCAUGUGCUGUGAGCUCGAUGAGUAGGGCGGGACACGUGGUAUCCUGUCUGAAUAUGGGGGGACCAUCCUCCAAGGCUAAAUACUCCUGACUGACCGAUAGUGAACCAGUACCGUGAGGGAAAGGCGAAAAGAACCCCGGCGAGGGGAGUGAAAAAGAACCUGAAACCGUGUACGUACAAGCAGUGGGAGCACCCUUUGGGUGUGACUGCGUACCUUUUGUAUAAUGGGUCAGCGACUUAUAUUCUGUAGCAAGGUUAACCGAAUAGGGGAGCCGGAGGGAAACCGAGUCUUAAUUGGGCGUUAAGUUGCAGGGUAUAGACCCGAAACCCGGUGAUCUAGCCAUGGGCAGGUUGAAGGUUGGGUAACACUAACUGGAGGACCGAACCGACUAAUGUUGAAAAAUUAGCGGAUGACCUGUGGCUGGGGGUGAAAGGCCAAUCAAACCGGGAGAUAGCUGGUUCUCCCCGAAAGCUAUUUAGGUAGCGCCUCGUGAAUUCAUCUCCGGGGGUAGAGCACUGUUUCGGCUAGGGGGCCAUCCCGGCUUACCAACCCGAUGCAAACUGCGAAUACCGGAGAAUGUUAUCACGGGAGACACACGGCGGGUGCUAACGUCCGUCGUGAAGAGGGAAACAACCCAGACCGCCAGCUAAGGUCCCAAAGUCAUGGUUAAGUGGGAAACGAUGUGGGAAGGCCCAGACAGCCAGGAUGUUGGCUUAGAAGCAGCCAUCAUUUAAAGAAAGCGUAAUAGCUCACUGGUCGAGUCGGCCUGCGCGGAAGAUGUAACGGGGCUAAACCAUGCACCGAAGCUGCGGCAGCGACGCUUAUGCGUUGUUGGGUAGGGGAGCGUUCUGUAAGCCUGCGAAGGUGGCCUGUGAGGGUUGCUGGAGGUAUCAGAAGUGCGAAUGCUGACAUAAGUAACGAUAAAGCGGGUGAAAAGCCCGCUCGCCGGAAGACCAAGGGUUCCUGUCCAACGUUAAUCGGGGCAGGGUGAGUCGACCCCUAAGGCGAGGCCGAAAGGCGUAGUCGAUGGGAAACGGGUUAAUAUUCCCGUACUUGGUGUUACUGCGAAGGGGGGACGGAGAAGGCUAUGUUGGCCGGGCGACGGUU